Dermochelys coriacea (leatherback sea turtle) is the source of this 8028-nucleotide long non-coding RNA. RefSeq lists it as uncharacterized. Lineage: Eukaryota; Metazoa; Chordata; Testudines; Dermochelyidae. The record is from RefSeq and is a predicted model, not a curated record. The transcript has 2 exons.
AGAGAAGGCACAGGGAAGUCUGGAGAAGGAACAACAAGUUCAUCAAGUGGUAUCUUGCAAAAAUCUUUGCUGCUUCUUUCUGGCGGCAGUGGUGGCCCUUCGAACUCUUCUCUGAAUCUUUCUGGGUUUAUUGCAUAGGUAAUCUGGGAUAGGAACAUCAAAAUCGGGAGGGGGAAUGUCAAGUUUAUCAAAGUCUAUGGGCACAAGCCAAAUCUUUUUUGACCUUCUUCCUGGCCUUUCAUAUUCAAAGCUGUCUUCCACUUUUAUGAUAGACACAUCAUCAGGCAAACUAGAAGAAUCAUAGCAGUCGUCUCUCAUCUGUUCACACUCACUCCCAUCCAUAUACAUACUUUCAAGCUCAUCAUUUAUUCGCUGGGCACACUGCUGCAACCAUGCCUCCUCUUCUUGCACAUCAGGAAAGUAAAUUUCUGUGUACCUUCGAAUUAUCUGAAGUCGAUGAGGAUCCAGCUCUUGCUUCCCAGAAUCUCCAUAGCAGUUAUAUCUUUCAGCCAGGUUCCUGUGAUCGAAGAGCUCAGGAAACAAUCUGUGUAACAAAAACACAGAAAAUUCCCCAGGGGAUGAAGCUUCAUCUAAAAAUUCAUUGAGAUCCUGAGCAUCCAGAACAUAAUCUGAGGUGGUGGCAUUAUCCCUGUCCAGAGACAAAGCUUCUUCCUGCUCUUUAUCCUCAAUGAAAUGAGAGGACUCUACCUGCUCAGCCUCAUAAAAACUGGAUGACUGCACACUUUGCUGACUAUUUUCCAUUUCUCUUUGUGCCCAAAAUCUACUGAAAAAGUCAUUAACUUGGGGCAAACACUCCACCUGCCACACAGCAUUGUUCUUCACAGAAGGAUAACAAACUUCCACAUAGUUUCGGAUAAGCUGCAGGUGAAGCGAUUCAAGUUUCUUUUUGUUAAGGAAGCCACACGUGCUGCAGCUCCUGUUGAACUCAUCAUCGCUGAAGAGCUCUGGGAAAAGCUGCACUAGUAACCGGCAAGCCAAAUCUCCACCUGAGGUGCUCUGAUCCAUGAUCUGUUUGAGUUCCGCAGCGGUCAGCUGGUACUCUGGGGGAGGUCUGAACUCUGCUACAGACUCUGUUGGGCUGACAUGCUUUUUAAUUCUGCUGACCUCAAGAGACAACAGGUCAACCUUGCUGUGAAGCUGAGUCAUAUUGGAAUUCAGGGUGUUGAGGGUGUAAAACAUUUUCUGUAUCAAAGAAUAUAUGUUGGGAUCAGAAUCUGCAGUGGAAGCUGUAACAGUGAUGGUAGCAGCAGAAUCCCUUUUGCGUUGAUCGCUCAAACUCCGCAGAUGGGAGGGGCUGCUUGGAUUGACCUUUUCAAACAGCUCAUAAGAAAACUGCUCUGCCCCUGGUAUGCUCUUCUUCUCUGUAAUUUUGUGUGAGAUGCCAUACAGAGGUUUCUUAUAGGAUGGAGUAGUCACGUCAUUGAAGGGUUCUUCUUCACACAGCCACGUUAUAUUGGGAUUCUUGUUCUUGUUAGGCUGCUCUACGUUUACCUGAGUGGGUGACCCAAUAUCUCGGUUCUUCAUGUUUGAAAUGAGGCCCUACGAAUCAACAAACGUCGUAUUAGUAAGACAGUUUGCUUUAAAAUAAUAGCUACAAAUUUGUGUUCCACAGGUAGGCGUCACUAAAUAAAUAUGCACUGCCUAAUUUUCGUCAAUGAACCCAACUGUGCUAUAUAAAUCAAGUUAAUAAAUGUAUUGAAGGAAAACAAUCACCAAACAUGUUUACAGGGAAAGUAUUAUUUUAUUUCUUUGUUCAUGACCUCUGCUAUGGGAUAACUAUACAAUUAUAAUACUUUGCAUUUUUACCGAGAGAGCUUUAAAUGAUAUCAUUACCUCCCAUUUAGUGUCUGAGGAACUUGGGUGGCAGAGAGGUUGAGUGGCAGUAAAUCCGUAACAGAGCCAAGAACAGAAUUCAGGUUUUCUGACUCCUAAUCCUGUGAGCUAGCCACAAUCUCACUACUCCCCACAACUGUAUUUUAAUGUUUCAUUACUCUCCCUAUUACCAGCUAAUGAGGACACUGGUCCAACAGCCUUGACACAGGUGUGUUUAAUUUUUUCUCCCUUAGCUCUGAAAAACGUAUGCAAGUAAUUACGCCCAGCGGUCCAAUUCAGGGACAACUCUAUGAUACCAACCCAACUUAAAAAAUCCCAAUACAAUUAGUGAAAAGGUCUUUUAAAAAUGAAAGAAUGAUCUGUUUCUGAAAGGCAGAAACAUUUAUAUUCAUUGAGUUCCUCGGUUCUAAACCAGCUAGUUGUGAACUCUUUAAGAAUUCACGCUGUAAAUUAUUUUUAAGCACUGCAUUUCCUAACUGUUCCUCAUUGUUUGAGUUCUGAAGCAAAUGUUUUCAUUUAUUCACUGUAAAUAUUUAGCUCAUCAUUUAUUUAUUUUUGCAAGUACAUGGAUAUUGUGAAUAACUCAGAGAAAAUUAAGUAGGUAAGCAACAACAAAAAAUUACAAUACACAGAACUCAAACAUGUGAGAACACACACACAGUUUGAAUCUGACCAUAUUGAAUUUUUUCCCCAGCCUGCUAUGCAGAAUAUUAAUGAGACACAAAAUAAAGAACUUGUAUUCAAAUAUUAAAAAGCAAUGAAAUUCAUAUUAUGGGCUGAUAAGCAACUGAAAGUCCCAUCCUAGGAUCAGGCCCCUAUACUGUGGAUCUUCUCUGAAAAACACUGUAAAAAAAAAAAUGGCAGCACCUUCUUACUCAGCUAAUCUGCUUCCUAUGUGUAUUCACACUCAUAUCUGCUUACCCUCGUGACAAAAAUAACUUAACACUACUUUUUAGUCCUAUAAGCAAUGCAGAGCCCAAACAUGUAGGGGAGAUCAAGCUGGGUUCUAUUCUAGCUCAUGCAUCAUCACCAGAAUAAACUAAAUUCCAACUGCUGUACCAUAACUUGCCCAUUUACAUAAGUGUAACCCCACUGAAGACAAGUUUAUGAGCAUACUGAAGACCAUGAGGUUGCACAGGUGAUAAGUGAGGGCGUUAAUGGGUUCAAUUUAGAGUGCAGAAUCCUAUCAGCAGUAAUAAGGUUGAGAAGCUUGAUUUUCAGAUCCCAGUUGAUUCUGCAGGAAUAGCCAUUAGAAACUUUCCCCUCCAGUUUUACUUGUAAACAAAGCACAUUUGAGAUGGACUAAAUGAGACAUGAUAAACAUGGAGCAACACCAAAACGUCAUUUUUCAGAGAAGUGCCCUUGUUAUGUGGGAAGAUGUGGCGUAAAUAAAGCAUCUGUUAUAAGAUUCAGUAAUACCUAAGCACAACAGACAGAAUUAAGAACAGGGAUCUCUGGCUUUUCAGAUUAAAAAAAAAAAAAAAGCAUUAUAGAGAGAUUUGAACAUACAGUGAAACUUGCUCUUAUCUGGUAACCUCAUGUCUUCAGAUACUGCCCCAAAUUAUCCUCAUAUACAAAGAGCACAAUUUGGCUCCAUCUUUGUUAGAAGGCUCAUUAUGAUAAGCAAAUCAUUUGUUAGUCCUUUUCAGGUUUCACCAUAGUUUUUUUUGUGUGUGUGUAGGUCCAAUGAAGCAAUAAAACAUGACAAUUUGAGGGUAGUCCUGAUUAAUGCUCAGCUCAAGUGAAGAGGCAGGAACAAGGCAGUACGAGGGAAGUGUAUUAAUCAGCACGGAGCCAUCAUCUAAAGGGCCUUAUUGCCCUUUUAAAAUGAACACAUAAAAGUUAACAUUCUUGCGGUUGGAUGGGGCCCUCUGGAAGAAAAGAAGUGCUUACGCUGAGAAUUAUGGCAGAUCUCUGUAUGUUGUAAGGGCAGCAGAACUUCUGCCCUUUCACUAAUGCAGCUCACGAUGUUUGGAUCUGGUUGUGGGAGGAAUUUGCAGAUCUGCAUUUCAGAAACACACGGUCAAUGUUCAGCUAACAGCUAGUGCCACAUCUGGGACUAGAUUUAAGCAUUUUCUGUUAAUCUGGGAUACCUUGUUCUGCCUUCAGAACAUUCUCCUUGCCUCCUGUAAUAAUCUGUACAGAUUAUAUUGCCAGCUGGGUAUAGCAUUAUCUGAAGCACACAUGGACUAUUUUUGGUGAAACGUCAGAAUAAUCUAUUGUGGAACAUUCUUUUGUAUUAUCCAUAAGGACCCGGGACUUUAAGCACAGAUGUGUGUAUGUACUUCAGAUAAUGCUAUAAGCAGGGGUCCCCAAUGCGGUGCCCGCCGGGGCAUUUUUGUGCGCCCGCAGUACUCCCCGCCACUGAAAUGCCGCCGAGAAGCGUUGCCGUUUCUUGGCGGCAUUUCAGCGGCAACGCUUCUUCCCGCUGCCGCUUUUCGGCAGUGGGGUGUCCGGCGCCCGCCACAGUCUUCUUGGAAUAGCAGUAUGCUAUUCCCACAAGAAAGGUUGGGGACCACUGCUAUACACAGUUAAAAAGAUUAUCAGUUUACUGUACUACCAAAAAAAUUACAAGGCAGAUUGUUCUAUUUGCGCUACAAGCACAUAAUACCAUGCUGCCUACACUGCCAUAGGAAGCUACUGUAUUACAUACUGUUGCUGACCUUUUAUGAAAUGCAGUAUUUUGCUUUUGUGGAAUAAUCUUUCAUAUUAUAUUUUAGGACCACAGGCCCAGAUUUUGAAAAGUAUUUAGGCUUUGCUCCAUUCAGCAUUGCAAGUUUUAAGGCUCAUUUUCAAAAGUGGCUCAGGCCACUGACUUACUCAAAGUUUUUAACAACUUGACUUUUGGUCACCGCCAGAAUUGGAAAGUAGAGAGAGGCACACAACUAAAAACAUUAGUAUUAAAAAAAGUUAGCCUCUCAAAGGUUCUGUUAGAACUUCAGACUAAGAUUGUGGUUGGUUAUUUAUUCUAAACAUGCUGAUUCAUCAUUAGAGUCAGUUGAGAAUAAAUUUUCACGACAAUUAUUGGGUUAGGUUCUGGCCCCAUAGUAAAUCCAAGGCAACUAUCAACUUCAAAUAACUUAUAGAGUUGGAGUGGUGAAAUUUCACUGAGAUCAGAAUCUGUCCCACUGUACAUAAUCUGGAAAAAUUACAACCCUGGUCUGGCAACUGGGUUAACCCAUAGGGAUCUGAUUGCAGAACUGUGGCCUAAAUUUCUAAUGAAAACACUAACAAAAUCUUUACUCUAGGGACAUGAGAGGGGGUCUAUGAUCACUGUCAGACCCAGUUAAUCCAAACCAGUUUGAGAAUUCCAUGUUUAUAAGAUUAUUAGAAACAAAUAAUUGCUUCAGAUAAAAACAAUUAAUGGUGGAAUUUAUGCUGUAAAAUGGGAUACUGCUUACAUCAUUAAAAAAUAUCCAGAUAAGUAGUAUAGGUAAACUGGGCAAAGAUUAUAAUCAUGUCUGACUAUAAACAAAUUAAUUGCUGGUGUGAGUUGAUUUAAAAGAGUUGUGCUCUGCUUAUACCAGCAGUAAAUUUGGCCCAAAAAAUCUGAACAGUACAUCAUGCAUAGCUACAUGUAGAAAAAUCACCUCUUGAAUAAAGCGUCUUUUCUUCACACUGGGCAAAACCUCUUGCUGGCUCCCUGAACCAUCACAACCAAGUGAGAUCUGUUUCCGUUUGUUGGAAUCGUGUAGGCAAGUAACUAAGCCAUCCAGUGAGUGUUUCUCAGGAGAUCUGGAUGUCACGGAGCAGUCUAGUGCUUCAUCUUCAUUUUCUGUUUCUACUUUCACAAGAUUAUUUUUUAUAAUUUUAACUAGAAAGAGAGAAGGUUUAGAACAAUCAAGCACUUCCUCCAGAAAUUCAUGAUACCCUUACAACAAUAUGCUUUGUUUGUUUUUCUGAAACUGCCUUUUGAAUAGUGUCAUUAUUAUUUAUCAUUAUAUAAUAGCAACACCUUGAAGCCUCAAGCCCCCAAGUCGGGGCACCAUUGUGGUAGGAACUGUACAAACAUAUAGUAAAUGAUAGUUCGUGCCCCAAAGAGCUUACAGACUUAAAGACAAUACAUAUCAGGUGAGUAGGCAGGUAGUAAAGUAGGCAGGAGUUUGGGGGAGGGAGAAGGAUGAUGGGCAACAAAAAUAAUAAUAGGAUGUUUUAGCAGCUAACUUUUCAGUCAUUGUUAUAAUCUUUGUAUAUUUAGAUGAAGAAUGCAUUGUGAUAAAGCAAAGUCUUCAUACAACUAGUAUUUUUUAAUCUGACCAGAAAAUAAACAAGAUAUAGCAUUUUACCUUCGUCAUCAUCAUUGAAUUCAGCUGAGUUCAUCUUCUAGCCCUCUAAAGAAAAAAGAUAAAAAGACAUCACCAGUAGUUUUCUAGACACAGGGCAUGGGUUGCGUUUUCAGCCUUUCGUUAAAAAAAAGUCAAAAACCUGCUAUCUACAACUAUUUGCUAUCCUUGGACAAUAUUAACAGUCCUUGGGCAAUUUCCUAUUUGCUCCAUUUUUAUUCACAUUAUAGCAGGCAGCCACUUUUCUUGUGUGUUUCCUGGACACCUGCAGAUCUGCCCCACAGUGUACACUGAACAGAAAACAACCUGAGACGGCCAGAAAAGUAAGAUGAUUUAACACUGAAGAUUUUUUCUAAUUUGAAGAACCUUAGUUCAGUUCUUUUAACUUUCUGUAUAAGUAGAAGUGUCUUGGAAGUGCACAAAUGAAAGUUCUCUGAAUGGGUUUUUUUGGUCACACUGUAUUAAGUGGGCACCAGUUAUAAGAGCCAAAAAACUUUGGAGGCCUAAAGGUGUCCAACAAGUUUCAUUGCAGGUCAAUUUCCAGUGUUCAGCACAGCUGAAAAAUGCAACACAAACUAUUUUAUAACUAAGGGUUAGACUCAAUGACCCUUGCUGUCCCUUCCCUAUGAUUCUAUAAUAUGCCAAGGUUGUCUGAAUAUAUUUCUAUUAAAAAACGGCUAUUUUGAUGUGGAUUGUGAUAUUGAAAAACCAGCAACCUAUAGAUUUACAGUAACAAGUAUUUUUAUAAUUGUUAACUGGUGGCCUCCAAACAACAUCAGAAUGCUUUUUAAAAGGAAAAACAAAACAUUUCAACUGUCUUAAAAUGAUUUAAUAUUACUUCUCAUGCCAAAAUUAUCACAUUAUCACUAAGCUACAUUUUUCAAUUUUCCUAAACCUAAGAUCACAGGUCAUUUGUUAUAAACUCCAAAUUCUGGACAUGUCUCAAAAAAGAAGGCUUCAGACUCCAGUGAGGAUAGACAAAGCAAGCACCCUCACCCAGCUCUCACUAGCCAUUUAGAAGUACACAUUCACCAACAGUGGCAACCACAAUUGGAUACCUUUUAAAUGAGCCAUACAUAGUUCAUAUUAUCCAGAUACAUGUCUAGCCUCAUAGGCUCGCUUGGCCCCAAAAAAACUUAUUUGAAAUACAUAAAAACUUUCAUAACUACAUGGAUUUUCCAAAUAGACUUCUUUCACCAAAUCAUACCCUUCCCCUGGUCAAGCUCUGAAUGGGUCAAUAUUGCCCAAGUCAUCCAUAACCAGAGAUUUUCUAGUUAAACACACACUCACACACAUGCACACACACACACACAUUUAUGUCCCAUGAAUAUUCCUUAUAAAACAAAAGACAUUUUGAAAGACUAUAUACAAAGAAUUGCAAUUGUAGUCUUAUUAUCUAAUAGUUGUAUACAAAAUGAUUUUAAAAGAAUCACAAGUACUAUUAAAAUGCUUUGCAUUGCAUGUUUGCAUACAAACAUUUGAAUACUGUGUAACUGCAUGCUUUCUCUUUGUUAGCAGCUGGUAGCUAUUAAUAGUAAAUAUAAUUAAUACAUUCAAUGUGAGAUUUUGUACAUAUGACUAACAGACACAACACAGAACUCACAGCCCAUGGUGAGGGAGGGUGGGCUAAAGUGCCUUUAAGUCCCCUUUGUGCUCUCUUUAUUCUGAACUAUUCCAGGACCCCUCCUGUCCUCAGCACACUCCCUAUACAAGGCCUUAAUAGGGGGUCCUUGGAGGGGAGCACUCUGCUUUGGCCCUUUUACUCAGCAUAUUUCUCCCCCCGCCCCCUGGUGUUUAAAUUCAAUGAACCUGGUUUUGACUCUUAACUUGCCUACAUACAAGUUAUGCCAGUUUAACUAAAAUGAGGUUUUUUUACAUCACUUUAGUUAAA